CCUACGGGAGGCAGCAGUGGGGAAUAUUGGGCAAUGGGCGCAAGCCUGACCCAGCAACGCCGCGUGAAGGAAGAAGGCUUUCGGGUUGUAAACUUCUUUUGUCAGGGACGAAACAAGUGACGGUACCUGACGAAUAAGCCACGGCUAACUACGUGCCAGCAGCCGCGGUAAUACGUAGGUGGCAAGCGUUAUCCGGAUUUAUUGGGUGUAAAGGGUGUGUAGGCGGGAAUGCAAGUCAGAUGUGAAAACUAUGGGCUCAACCCAUAGCCUGCAUUUGAAACUGUAUUGCUUGAGUGCUGGAGAGGCAAGCGGAAGUCGGGGUGUAGCGGUGAAAUGCGUAGAUAUACGGAGGAACACCAGUGGCGAAGGCGGAUUGCUGGACAGUAACUGACGCUGAGGCGCGAAAGCGUGGGGAGCAAACAGGAUUAGAUACCCUAGUAGUC
RNAcentral lists this ribosomal RNA (443 nucleotides) under uncultured bacterium. RNAcentral's name for it is "partial 16S ribosomal RNA". It matches the Rfam family "Bacterial small subunit ribosomal RNA", at positions 338 to 795 of the family's 1533-position model. The record is from RNAcentral.